UACGUAGAAGACUAGUGUUAGUCAUCUUUAUUAGGUUUAAAGGGUACCUAGACGGUAAAUUAAACUCUAAAUGAGUACUUUUUUACUAGAGUUUUAUGUGAGAAGGAAGAACUUCUGGAGUAGGGAUAAAAUACGCAAAUACCAGAAGGACUGAUAACGGCGAAGGCGUCCUUCUAUGUAAAAACUGACGUUGAGGGACGAAGGCUCGGGUAGCGAUAAGGAUUAGAAACCCGAGUAGU
RNAcentral lists this ribosomal RNA (239 nucleotides) under uncultured bacterium. RNAcentral's name for it is "partial 16S ribosomal RNA". It matches the Rfam family "Bacterial small subunit ribosomal RNA", at positions 524 to 794 of the family's 1533-position model. The record is from RNAcentral.